GGAUGUGGCUCAGUGAUAGAGUGCUUGCUUAGCAUGCACAAAUUUCUGGGUUCAAUCCCCAGGACCA
Molecule: transfer RNA, 67 nt
Filed under: Marmota monax (woodchuck)
Lineage: Eukaryota; Metazoa; Chordata; Mammalia; Rodentia; Sciuridae
Description: tRNA.Ala
Source: RNAcentral